CAUUGAGGAGGGAAAUAUCGAAAAAUUGGACCAGGAGGCUCACUCAGUUCGCACUCUACGAACUAAGGAGUAUGUUCAAAAGCACACAGUGGAACAACCUCAGCAGCAGUUUCCUGAUAUUUCCAUUCUACAGUCAUCCUUAAAGCUGUAGUCUACUGUCAGAAUUUAAUUGUUGUUCCCCCACACCCCACAUUUAUAUAUUUGAUAUAUUUUCAUAGAACCUUGUAUAUUUCUUUAUUGUUAUACUCGGAUGAUUAAUGAAGCAAUGAUACGGUUCAUUUAUCUUGCAUUUACUAAGUUGAGAUUGAGUUGUGACAUUUUCCCUUGACUAUGCACAAAAGCUAGACAUGGGCUGGUCAGUCCAGGUCAUGAAGUACGACCAGACUUCCCUGUUCUAAUCUCCCUUUCCCUGUUUACACAAUACAACUGUCUAAGCAUUAUUAUUUAUGUAUCCGUAUCCAGACGUUCCUGUGAAGGGACCAAUCAUGUGAUUGUUCUCCAGACAUGUUUGCUCAAUAACUGCCCACAUGAUUCUUCUAGACAUUAUCAAAUGUUUAUCAGGUGACCAGUGCUUCCUUUCUGUACACUAUAUAAGCUGAAGCCUGUCUAAUAAACUUUGGUCUAUGUUUGAACUGCAUCUCGGUGUCAGUGUCUUUCAUGGCCCCUGAUAUAUAUCAGAACUCUCUGCUGCUCACCUCAGACCUCGUCUCUUUACUACAGAUUCAACGAAAACUUCAUACCUCUAGACCUGCUUAGAAUUAGAUUCUAACAGUUGGGGGCUCGUCCGGCGACAGGGGGGUGAGCCUCCUCCCGACAGAACCGGAGACCGAAAUUUGAACACCGCAGAUCGGGGAGGACCUACAGAAAGGGGUAAGUGUCGUGAUAUUUCUAAUAAAUUUGAAAUACAGCGCUUACCCCUGUAGAGUCCCAGUAGGACCCAUAUCUUGUGCUCGAGACAAGAUCGGUCAUUUUCACUCGGCCCACGUGGGGCAGGUGGCCCAAAAAUCGCCACCGUUGGCUAAUUGAUUUACGAAUUAAUUGCUAGUAACGAAGUGAUAGUCGCUCACGAGUAAAAGAAAUAAAUAAAUUGACAACGAGUGAUUUCUUGUCAAUUAAAUUUCACGGGUGCGGUAAUCGAGAUUACCAGCACAUGCAGCAUUGACUGCGUACGGAGCGAGGUCAAGUAUACAGUUAGAGCUCGCUGUAUAUUUGAGAUCGCGGUGUUAUUGUUAUUCGUUAUUGUUGAGUAAUCAUCAACGAAACGUUGAAUUGAAUAUAAAACGAGCAUUGCCCACUAUCAAAGAAAUUUAUUAAAACUAUAUGAAUAACAUUUAUGACAUUUUAUGAAAACUGGAUUUUUGCAAAUUUCAAAUAAUUUGCCAAACUAAUAUAUAACUUCUAAAGAACGAAACGAUACGUAAAUGUAUUGAGGCUGAGUAGAGGAGCACAGAAAACCCGGGUGUUUGUCAAUUGCUUAUUUGUGCUUAUUGCUGUUUGCUUGUUAUUGCUGCUAUUAUUUGUUUACAUUGUGUUGAAGAUGGGUGAUUCUGCCACGGCCAGGCAAAAGCCUGAUGAAUUUAUGUAUACAAAUAAUAAAGGUUUUUAUGUUGAACUGUACGUCACUUAGCGGUUAGUAAUAUAAUAACUUUGCAUUGAAAACCCCCAACGCAAGAUGCGCUGCCAUAUUUUAUGUCGAAUAGUACCAGCCGAAGUUUAUCGUCCCCACAAAUUGCUGUAAAAUACGUGAAUGUUUUGCAAUCUCACAAGAGGUAUGCACACGUCACAGGGGCAGAUUUGUGCUAUUUUGUUGAAAAUUGGAGAGCGAUGUAAAAAAAAAAAAAAAAAAAAAACAUAACUGAUACGUGCCGCUGUCUGAUUCGGGAAAACCAUGUGACUGGAGGUGAGGGGACUGCAGCCUCUCGCAAUCCACUCACACGGGAAGAUCAUGAAUAUCAUGAUAUGCUUUUUUGAUCAGCUGCGCGUUUUUCUAGAUAAACGGUUUGGCAUUUGCCAGUAUUUAUCAUUUGCAUUAAACGGAAAGAUAAAGCCAAAUGAAACUGCUUCUGAAUUUUGCACAGGUUUUAAAGUAUUAUGAGUUUAUUCUAGAUUACCGAUUGACAAAGUCUGAGUGCGCUGUUACAAAUAUGCUGUUGAACAAUAUGAAUCGUAGGUACCCGUAAGUGAAAUCUGUUGAAUAUGAAUGUGAAUAGACUGAUUUGUGAGUCUGAUGCAUCUGGUGAACAUGCUAUGUUUUCAGUGCAAGUUUCAUCGAACGGGAAAAAGCUUGCUUAAGCACCGGAAAGGAAACUGAGAUUUGAUAUAAUGUGUUAUUAUGUGGACAAAGGGGCCACAUGAAAUGUGACUGCCGUUCAAAAGGGGGUGCAAUUUUAUUCCAAGGGCGCCACCACGUAGACAGUCAAUGCAACAGCCAAAGCAAGUGCAUCAGAAACUAUCUGACAGUAAUUACCAGACAAACUGGCAUAACAAAACACAAUGAAAUGUUCUGACCCAUUACACCACCUCUGGAGACAUACAGUGAUCCUCUGCCUAUGGGGGGAGGAAGUGAGAAGGCCGACCAAGACCCAGUAGCCGCCCGCAUACCACAUGAUGUAGACACCUUGAUUAACCCAUGCCUAUGAACUCAGUCAAACAAUGAUACAGGUUUCAUUGAUAUGAAACCAUACAAAGUUAAACUUAAACCUGUGUACAUCAAACAAUAUCCUUUGUCAAAAGAAAAGGAAGAUGGCAUUAAACCUAUUAUUCACCAUUUUGUUUAACAGGGUGUCCUCAUACCUACUCGCCAUAAAACACACCGAUUAACCCGGUGGUGAAUGCUGAUGGAAAGACAUAAUGUCUUACACAAGAUUUAAGAGCACUCAAUAAACUGAUAAUUCCUCUGUCUCUGAUUGUUCCAGAUGUGCCGACUGUUAUAAAUGUUAUAUCAUGCACACAUAAGUAUUUCUGUCAUUGAUUUGUGUGCUGCUUUUGUUUCUCUGUUCCAGUGCAUCCAGACACACAGCCACUGCUAGCCUUAUAGGAUAGGGGGCGCAAGAACUAAGAAGGGUAUGUUGACUCACCAUCCGUCCUCUCCGCUGCAGUGGAAAAAAGACAUUGAAAAAAAAAAAAAAAAGAUCAACUUCCUAUUUUCGGGUUUGCUGUCUGCUGUAUGCCGAUGACAUCAUGGUCUCUGCCCUGACUGAAAAGAACUGUGAGAAAGCCUCCAUUAUCGUCUGCAAUAUUUUGGUGGACGCUGGUUUCAAAGCAUCAAAAGAAAAGCUCCAGUGGGUCAAGCAAAAGUUCUCGUACCUUGGUCACGUCUUAAUGCCAGGUCUUUGAAAAAACCUCCACAGAUCAGGUUGAACUGAUCCGGAAGAUGAAAUUCCCACAAACUGUGUAACAGCUCCAAAGUUUUCUGGGGUUAAUAAACUGUUGCCGCUCAUGGAAACCUGAGUGUGCUGCCCAUGACGGACAUUUGCGGAGCACGAUUGAUCACAAGGCAUCGCCUGCAUCACUGAUAUGCUGGACUGAUGAAGCAGAGACUCAUUUCAUGGCACUGAAACACGCCAUUACUACGGCCCCAACUCUGGGCCAUCCGAACUAUGCAAGGACUUUUCACCUGCAUGCGUGAGAGGCGAAGGGUGUGGCUCUGGGUAUCCUUUGGCAACAACAAGGUUGCACUUAUAGGCCAGUGGCAUAUCUGUCUAGAAAACUAGAUAAUGUAGUAACAGGUAUGCCUAAAAUGUCUUUAUGCAGUGGCUGCUGAUGUUCUGUUUGUACAGGUGGCUGAGAGAACGGUGCUGUCACAGUCAAUGACUCUACACAUCACAUCAAGUUGGUGCAUUUUUACACAACACAGGACGGCACAGAGGCGAUAUGGGUAUGAGGCUACGCUGUUGGCAACCAAAAAUGUAACGAUCCAGCCCACUUCUACCAUUAAUUCCACAGUUUUGGGACUGGUAGACAUGACUGAGCACGAUCUAAAACAUGAUUGCAUUGUUGGAUUGACUACUUCCUGUUCCUCUAGGGCCGAUUUAAUGGAAUCGCCCCUAGAUGGGGGGGUCAGAUCUAUGUGGAUGGCUCAUAUACAAAGCCAUCGGACGGUGUCUACCUGUGUGGUUAUGCUGUGGUGUCAGAUACUGGUGAGGUUAUUGAACCCUUUGCUCUAAAUUACAACUCAGCAUAAGCUGCAGAAUUGGUAACUCUAAUACGAGUUUGUGAGCUAAUGAAAGAAAGAAAAAAGCCACAAUCUACGCGACUCUAAAUAUCUGUACCACAAAUUUUAAAAACAUGGGAAGCCCGAGAUUUCAAGACAACAGAUGGUAAGCUUAUAGCUCAUUCAUAUUUGGUAGGACGGUUGACAAAAGCAGUACAGCUACCGUCUGAAAUGGCAAUAGUGAAAGUAAAAGAUCAUGGAUCAGGAAAUGAUGACUAGGCUGUGGGAAACAAGAAGAGCAGAUGAGGCUGCCAAGGAAGCAGCUCAAGCUCACAUUAAAUGACUAUUUGAGUAUGAUGUCAAAACAGACCUUGCUAUGGCUGUGCAAGUGAUUAACAUGAUCAGAUUGACUUCAUUCGCAUACUGCCGAUUGGAAAUUAUGAAAUAUCUUUUUUAUCACAAAGAGGAUGCGCAAACUGUAGUUAAAAUUUUGACAAUUGAAAAUUAUUCCUCGUUUUAGCAUACCGAAAACAAUUGAAUCCGACGACGAGACACCUUUUGUGUCUAAAGUAACUAGCUCUUUGCUAAAGCGCUGUCUAUUGAUUGGCAUUUUAAUAUUAAACGUGAAAAUUAAACAUAGGAUAACCAAAGCUGCGUUAGAAACGGAAAGAAAUGGGUAGAUUUGCUACCUGCUUUAUUAUACGAAAUAAGAAUGACUCCAUCUUCAACCAAACAAUUGUCUUCAUUUGAAAUACUAAUGGGUAGGCCAUUCCCCACCCUGUGGGUCAAAGGCCGCGCAGGCAUUUCUUCCCCAGGUGACUGGAGGUGAUACAAGAAGACUAUGUGGUGUCCAUAAUUGAGAAAUUGAACUCUAUCUGUGCUAAUUUUCUUUGUCUCUCCCCUCAGAAAAACCAACUUACAUUUUUGCUCCAGGACAGGUUGUUCUAAAUAGGAGCCUGAAGCCCACGAGGGUAUGAGAGCCAAAAUACCUCGGCCCAGACAAGGUGAUGGCUGUGACAAAGAUGGGAGUUCUGAUUGACAACCAGCUACAGUGGAUUCACGCCUCAGGGUUGAAGCACCACUCUGCCACGGAUCAGGACACCAGAGACGAACCCAAACAACGACUACUAGUAAUGGAAAACAACGGAGAACAACGAGUGAGAUAUCUUGAUGGAAGCUCCACUGCCGAGAGGAUUCGAACCAUGUAUUGUGACCAAAGCUUUCAUCAUCUUCAGCGAGCACAUUGUGGAAGCAGAGCAAAGAAUAUUGGAAGACAACGAACACAUCACACAACUGGCCCUGCAAAAGCGAUCAUAGAUCAUAUGCUGUGGUAUAUGUUUAUUUUGAAUGAUAGUGAUCUGAAAGUCUAUAGAAAAAAAAUAAUAAUAAAGGUAUUGGUUUCUUGAAAAUAAGGGUUAUUUAGGAAAUUGCUAUUUAAUAAACUAAUUGUAACUAUUUGAUUUCUGCAAUUAGGAAAAGUAUUUUCUUAAAGUAUAUGAAACCAGUGCUUUCCAGAUGUGGACCCAUAACCCUGUUAUAUGUCAUAAAUAAUGUAUCUGGAGUAAAUGGAUUAGUGAUAACUCGAUGUAUAGAAGGUGGACCCAAACGACCUGUGAUGCAAAAUUUUAUUUUCAAACACAAGGGAUUUUUUCUUUUUGAUAUGGGUGUGUGGGAUCAGAUGUGAUCCACUGACGUGUCUCAAAGGGGCCAUUGUCAGAAUUUAAUUGUUGUUCCCCCACACCCCACAUUUAUAUAUUUGAUAUAUUUUCAUAGAACCUUGUAUAUUUCUUUAUUGUUAUACUCGGAUGAUUAAUGAAGCAAUGAUACGGUUCAUUUAUCUUGCAUUUACUAAGUUGAGAUUGAGUUGUGACAUUUUCCCUUGACUAUGCACAAAAGCUAGACAUGGGCUGGUCAGUCCAGGUCAUGAAGUACGACCAGACUUCCCUGUUCUAAUCUCCCUUUCCCUGUUUACACAAUACAACUGUCUAAGCAUUAUUAUUUAUGUAUCCGUAUCCAGACGUUCCUGUGAAGGGACCAAUCAUGUGAUUGUUCUCCAGACAUGUUUGCUCAAUAACUGCCCACAUGAUUCUUCUAGACAUUAUCAAAUGUUUAUCAGGUGACCAGUGCUUCCUUUCUGUACACUAUAUAAGCUGAAGCCUGUCUAAUAAACUUUGGUCUAUGUUUGAACUGCA
Molecule: long non-coding RNA, 6345 nt
Organism: Misgurnus anguillicaudatus (oriental weatherfish)
Lineage: Eukaryota; Metazoa; Chordata; Actinopteri; Cypriniformes; Cobitidae
Source: RefSeq, a predicted model, not a curated record